Molecule: unclassified non-coding RNA, 342 nt
Filed under: uncultured fungus
Lineage: Eukaryota; Fungi
Description: partial contains 5.8S ribosomal RNA and internal transcribed spacer 2
Rfam family: 5.8S ribosomal RNA (bases 1-134)
Source: RNAcentral
UGGUUCUGGCAUCGAUGAAGAACGCAGCGAAAUGCGAUAAGUAAUGCGAAUUGCAGAAUUCCAGUGAGUCAUCGAAUCUUUGAACGCACAUUGCGCCCUUUGGUAUUCCGAAGGGCAUGCCUGUUCGAGCGUCAUUAUCACCCCUCAAGCCCCGUGCUUGGUGUUGGACGGCCGGUCGAGCGAUCGACCCCUCCGAAAGACAAUGACGGCGGCCUGUGGUCCCCCCGGUACACUGAGCUUUUUACCGAGCACGUGCCGGACCAGGGGGCCCGGGACCCGGUCCUCUCCUUUGUAAGGAAACUUCUCAAGGUUGACCUCGGAUCAGGUAGGAAUACGCGCUGA